This 2902-nucleotide ribosomal RNA is filed under the name Klebsiella pneumoniae. RNAcentral's name for it is "23S ribosomal RNA". It matches the Rfam family "Bacterial large subunit ribosomal RNA". The record is from RNAcentral. Lineage: Bacteria; Pseudomonadati; Pseudomonadota; Gammaproteobacteria; Enterobacterales; Enterobacteriaceae.
GGUUAAGCGACUAAGCGUACACGGUGGAUGCCCUGGCAGUCAGAGGCGAUGAAGGACGUGCUAAUCUGCGAAAAGCGUCGGUAAGGUGAUAUGAACCGUUAUAACCGGCGAUGUCCGAAUGGGGAAACCCAGUGCAAUUCGUUGCACUAUCGUUAACUGAAUACAUAGGUUAACGAGGCGAACCGGGGGAACUGAAACAUCUAAGUACCCCGAGGAAAAGAAAUCAACCGAGAUUCCCCCAGUAGCGGCGAGCGAACGGGGAGCAGCCCAGAGUCUGAAUCAGCUUGUGUGUUAGUGGAACGGUCUGGAAAGUCCGACGGUACAGGGUGAUAGUCCCGUACACCAAAAUGCACAGGUUGUGAACUCGAAGAGUAGGGCGGGACACGUGGUAUCCUGUCUGAAUAUGGGGGGACCAUCCUCCAAGGCUAAAUACUCCUGACUGACCGAUAGUGAACCAGUACCGUGAGGGAAAGGCGAAAAGAACCCCGGCGAGGGGAGUGAAAAAGAACCUGAAACCGUGUACGUACAAGCAGUGGGAGCACCUUCGGGUGUGACUGCGUACCUUUUGUAUAAUGGGUCAGCGACUUAUAUUCUGUAGCAAGGUUAACCGUAUAGGGGAGCCGCAGGGAAACCGAGUCUUAACUGGGCGUUAAGUUGCAGGGUAUAGACCCGAAACCCGGUGAUCUAGCCAUGGGCAGGUUGAAGGUUGGGUAACACUAACUGGAGGACCGAACCGACUAAUGUUGAAAAAUUAGCGGAUGACUUGUGGCUGGGGGUGAAAGGCCAAUCAAACCGGGAGAUAGCUGGUUCUCCCCGAAAGCUAUUUAGGUAGCGCCUCGUGAACUCAUCUUCGGGGGUAGAGCACUGUUUCGGCUAGGGGGUCAUCCCGACUUACCAACCCGAUGCAAACUACGAAUACCGAAGAAUGUUAUCACGGGAGACACACGGCGGGUGCUAACGUCCGUCGUGAAGAGGGAAACAACCCAGACCGCCAGCUAAGGUCCCAAAGUCAUGGUUAAGUGGGAAACGAUGUGGGAAGGCACAGACAGCCAGGAUGUUGGCUUAGAAGCAGCCAUCAUUUAAAGAAAGCGUAAUAGCUCACUGGUCGAGUCGGCCUGCGCGGAAGAUGUAACGGGGCUAAACCAUGCACCGAAGCUGCGGCAGCGACACUAUGUGUUGUUGGGUAGGGGAGCGUUCUGUAAGCCUGCGAAGGUGACCUGUGAGGGUUGCUGGAGGUAUCAGAAGUGCGAAUGCUGACAUAAGUAACGAUAAAGCGGGUGAAAAGCCCGCUCGCCGGAAGACCAAGGGUUCCUGUCCAACGUUAAUCGGGGCAGGGUGAGUCGACCCCUAAGGCGAGGCCGAAAGGCGUAGUCGAUGGGAAACAGGUUAAUAUUCCUGUACUUGGUGUUACUGCGAAGGGGGGACGGAGAAGGCUAUGUUAGCCGGGCGACGGUUGUCCCGGUUUAAGCAUGUAGGCUGGUUAUCCAGGCAAAUCCGGAUAAUCAAGGCUGAGGUGUGAUGACGAGGCACUACGGUGCUGAAGUAACAAAUGCCCUGCUUCCAGGAAAAGCCUCUAAGCAUCAGGUAACAUUAAAUCGUACCCCAAACCGACACAGGUGGUCAGGUAGAGAAUACCAAGGCGCUUGAGAGAACUCGGGUGAAGGAACUAGGCAAAAUGGUGCCGUAACUUCGGGAGAAGGCACGCUGGUGUGUAGGUGAAGCCCCUGCGGGUGGAGCUGAGACCAGUCGAAGAUACCAGCUGGCUGCAACUGUUUAUUAAAAACACAGCACUGUGCAAACACGAAAGUGGACGUAUACGGUGUGACGCCUGCCCGGUGCCGGAAGGUUAAUUGAUGGGGUUAUCCGUAAGGAGAAGCUCUUGAUCGAAGCCCCGGUAAACGGCGGCCGUAACUAUAACGGUCCUAAGGUAGCGAAAUUCCUUGUCGGGUAAGUUCCGACCUGCACGAAUGGCGUAAUGAUGGCCAGGCUGUCUCCACCCGAGACUCAGUGAAAUUGAACUCGCUGUGAAGAUGCAGUGUACCCGCGGCAAGACGGAAAGACCCCGUGAACCUUUACUAUAGCUUGACACUGAACAUUGAGCCUUGAUGUGUAGGAUAGGUGGGAGGCUUUGAAGCGUGGACGCCAGUCUGCGUGGAGCCAACCUUGAAAUACCACCCUUUAAUGUUUGAUGUUCUAACGUUGGCCCCUUACCGGGGUUGCGGACAGUGUCUGGUGGGUAGUUUGACUGGGGCGGUCUCCUCCCAAAGCGUAACGGAGGAGCACGAAGGUUAGCUAAUCCUGGUCGGACAUCAGGAGGUUAGUGCAAUGGCAUAAGCUAGCUUGACUGCGAGCGUGACGGCGCGAGCAGGUGCGAAAGCAGGUCAUAGUGAUCCGGUGGUUCUGAAUGGAAGGGCCAUCGCUCAACGGAUAAAAGGUACUCCGGGGAUAACAGGCUGAUACCGCCCAAGAGUUCAUAUCGACGGCGGUGUUUGGCACCUCGAUGUCGGCUCAUCACAUCCUGGGGCUGAAGUAGGUCCCAAGGGUAUGGCUGUUCGCCAUUUAAAGUGGUACGCGAGCUGGGUUUAGAACGUCGUGAGACAGUUCGGUCCCUAUCUGCCGUGGGCGCUGGAGAAUUGAGGGGGGCUGCUCCUAGUACGAGAGGACCGGAGUGGACGCAUCACUGGUGUUCGGGUUGUCAUGCCAAUGGCACUGCCCGGUAGCUAAAUGCGGAAGAGAUAAGUGCUGAAAGCAUCUAAGCACGAAACUUGCCCCGAGAUGAGUUCUCCCUGAGACUUUAAGUCUCCUGAAGGAACGUUAAAGACGAUGACGUUGAUAGGCCGGGUGUGUAAGCGCAGCGAUGCGUUGAGCUAACCGGUACUAAUGAACCGUGAGGCUUAACCUU